RNAcentral lists this ribosomal RNA (271 nucleotides) under uncultured bacterium. Its description in RNAcentral is "partial 16S ribosomal RNA". The record is from RNAcentral.
CUGCUGCCUCCCGUAGGAGUCUGGGCCGUGUCUCAGUCCCAGUGUGGCCGAUUAACCUCUCAGUUCGGCUACGCAUCGUCGUCUUGGUAGGCCGUUACCCCACCAACUAACUAAUACGCCGCAGGCCCAUCUCUAAGCGAAGCUUUAAAGGCUUCUUUACUCCAUAGAGCGCAUUCGGUAUUAUCAACCGUUUCCAGUUGUUAUCCCCAACUUAGAGGUAGGUAACCCACGUGUUACUCACCCGUUUCGUCCACCUAGGUGGAAAUACCAA